Molecule: ribosomal RNA, 932 nt
Filed under: Coniella quercicola
Lineage: Eukaryota; Fungi; Ascomycota; Sordariomycetes; Diaporthales; Schizoparmaceae
Description: partial large subunit ribosomal RNA
Rfam family: Eukaryotic large subunit ribosomal RNA
Source: RNAcentral
UUACCCCGCUGGAACUUAAGCAUAUCAAUAAGCGGAGGAAAAGAAACCAACAGGGAUUGCCCUAGUAACGGCGAGUGAAGCGGCAACAGCUCAAAUUUGAAAUCUGGCUUCGGCCCGAGUUGUAAUUUGCAGAGGAUGUUUCUGGCGCGGUGCCUUCCGAGUUCCCUGGAACGGGACGCCAUAGAGGGUGAGAGCCCCGUAUGGUUGGAUACUAAGCCUGUGUGAAACUCCUUCGACGAGUCGAGUAGUUUGGGAAUGCUGCUCAAAAUGGGAGGUAAAUCUCUUCUAAAGCUAAAUAUUGGCCAGAGACCGAUAGCGCACAAGUAGAGUGAUCGAAAGAUGAAAAGCACCUUGAAAAGGGGGUUAAACAGUACGUGAAAUUGUUGAAAGGGAAGCGCUCAUGACCAGACUUGUGCUGGGCAGCUCAUCCGGGGUUCUCCCCGGUGCACUCUGCCCAGUUCAGGCCAGCAUCGAUUUUUGCUGGGGGAUAAGAACGGUAGGAACGUGGCCCUCCUUCGGGUGGGUGUUAUAGCCUGCCGUACGAUACCCUGGCGGAGAUCGAGGUUCGCGCAUCUGCAAGGAUGCUGGCGUAAUGGUCAUCAGCGACCCGUCUUGAAACACGGACCAAGGAGUCGUCCAUUAGAGCGAGCGUUUGGGUGUAAAACCCGCACGCGUAAUGAAAGUGAAAUUAGGUGAGAGCUUCGGCGCAUCAUCGACCGAUCCUGAUGUUCUCGGAAGGAUUUGAGUAAGAGUUUUAACGGACGGACCCGAAAGACAGUGAACUAUGCUUGUAUAGGGUGAAGCCAGAGGAAACUCUGGUGGAGGCUCGCAGCGGUUCUGACGUGCAAAUCGAUCGUCAAAUAUGAGCAUGGGGGCGAAAGACUAAUCGAACUGUCUAGUAGCUGGUUACCGCCGAAGUUUCCCCUCAGGAA